UACGAAGGGUGCAAGCGUUAAUCGGAAUUACUGGGCGUAAAGCGUGCGUAGGCGGUUUGUUAAGUCCGAUGUGAAAGCCCUGGGCUCAACCUGGGAAUGGCAUUGGAUACUGGCAGGCUAGAGUGCGGUAGAGGGGUGCGGAAUUCCCGGUGUAGCGGUGAAAUGCGUAGAGAUCGGGAGGAACAUCCGUGGCGAAGGCGGCACCCUGGACCAGCACUGACGCUGAGGCACGAAAGCGUGGGGAGCAAACAGG
This 253-nucleotide ribosomal RNA is filed under the name uncultured prokaryote. RNAcentral describes it as "partial 16S ribosomal RNA". It matches the Rfam family "Bacterial small subunit ribosomal RNA", at positions 524 to 776 of the family's 1533-position model. The record is from RNAcentral.